GAUGAAGAACGUAGCGAAAUGCGAUAAGUAAUGUGAAUUGCAGAAUUCAGUGAAUCAUCGAAUCUUUGAACGCACAUUGCGCCCGCCAGUAUUCUGGCGGGCAUGCCUGUUCGAGCGUCAUUUCAACCAUCAAGCCCCAGGCUUGUGUUGGGGACCUGCGGCUGCCGCAGGCCCUGAAAACCAGUGGCGGGCUCGCUGUCACACCGGGCGUAGUAGAUUUUAUCUCGCUCAGGGCGAGCUGCGGGUUCCGGCCGUUAAAAAGCCUUUUUUACCCAAGGUUGACCUCGGAUCAGGUAGGAAGACCCGCUGAACUUAAGCAUAUCAAUAAGCGGAGGA
RNAcentral lists this unclassified non-coding RNA (336 nucleotides) under soil metagenome. RNAcentral describes it as "partial contains 5.8S ribosomal RNA, internal transcribed spacer 2, and large subunit ribosomal RNA". The stretch from base 1 to 120 matches the Rfam family "5.8S ribosomal RNA", at positions 35 to 154 of the family's 154-position model. The record is from RNAcentral.